Molecule: long non-coding RNA, 4497 nt
Organism: Gorilla gorilla gorilla (western lowland gorilla)
Lineage: Eukaryota; Metazoa; Chordata; Mammalia; Primates; Hominidae
Exons: 2
Source: RefSeq, a predicted model, not a curated record
GCUCUCCGCUGCGAGUCCGCCGGGACUAACCGGGCGUUUGCGAGAAGGGGUGCGUCCGAGGGCCCCUCCCGCGUGUCCGGCGCCCACCUUUGGCCCUGAGGGCCGAGUGGGGAGCCUCACGACGCUGUUACAGCCUUUCAGAUGCACGGACUGGGAAACUGGGGCUCAGAGAAGUCAAGUGGCUCGCCCAAGGUCACCCAGCGAGUGAUCCUGGGAAGAGGGGACAAGGGCCGAGCUGGAGCUGGGAAGGGCGCCCCAGUUCGCCCCAGUCGCGCUCUGAGGAAUAGCAGCGGUACCGCCCUGCUCUCUAAAGCUUCCUGGACUUCUCUAAGUUAUGUCGCGUUGCUGUCCCCCCGUAUUUAUAAGAGAGUAAGGCAGGGGCGCCGUCCUUUCUCCGCGCCUGAGCUCAGAGCGCCAACCUCCUGAGAUCAGCCAGCUCAGAGCUGCAAGGCUGUUCUCUGGGCCUUCUGAGCCUCCCUCGCCUUCCCUUCAGCUGUAACUCCAGGGACGCUGGGCAGACACCCAUCUGUGGACUCCUCACUGCUGGACAUGGUGCUUCGCCCCGGCCUGGCCAACUGAGUGAAGGACCUGUGACCGUCGCACCUGUUUCUGACCUGGGCCCAGCGUCAGGCUUGUAGGCUGCUUGUGGCUGCUCUUCUCAAUCCCAGGUCUAUGACUGGCCUCUCAGCCCCAGAAACAAAAAGGGCACUUCCCAAACCACCCUCACCCAGAAGGGCAGGGGUGUGGAUGGCUGCAUCCUGGCUGCUACCUGCCUCACUAUGCCACUUUGUUAAUUAACUUAGAGCCUGAGCUUCCCAGUCUACACCCCCAAAACCAGGGGUAUGCCAGUAGUCCUGCCGGACAACAGGAGGGACUCAUAGGACAAUGUAUUUUCCUUUUACAACUGAAGGGAAGCAUACACCUCUGGCUUAUAUUCCUGUGUCACAGGACUUACAUUCUAUGGUAGGGUUCCCUGAAAGCUGCUUGUAAAGGGGGAAAGGGGGACAGAGAAUGUCUGGGAUGAGGCUAGAAGAGGACAAUGGGGCCUGGAUGCCCAGCGGCUUCAUCGGAACACUUAGACUCUCUCUCUUCUAACAGCUCUUCUCCCUCUGUGUCUUCCAUUCAGACCAUCUGCCCCGGUGACAGUCCAGACCUUGAGUAAUCACUAUUUUUAUUAAGUGCCAGCCCUAUGUUUAUGACUUAGGAUUCACUAUGGUUCUCACAACACCCUGUAAGGAAAAUUCUAUUGAUCACCACUUACAAAGAAGGAAACUAAGGCCCGGGACAGUUUAAUACCACCUUGCUUAAGGCUCCACAGCUGUCAGCGGGGAUCCCAGGCCCACCUGACUCUCUGACCCUUCUUUCUCUCCCUUCCUGGUUCUGCCUUCCCAGGUAGCAAUCUGGGACACUCCUGACUGGCUCUUCAUCCCUCCCUGAUCUGAGCUGGCAGAGUCAGUCCACCAGCAGCUGUGGAGGAGGGCUAUGCACUGGGAAACUGACAGCAAGGGCACUGAAUCUUCUGCUCCAGACCCUCCUUCUCUGAGAACCUUCCAAGAGGGCAGGUGCCAAGCGCUGUGAGUGCUCAUGCAGGGUCCUCCGGGGAGGAGGGAGAUGAAUGUCUCUGUGAGAUGCUCAGGAAAUUGUCCCUACCCUCCAACCUGGCUGACCCAUUGGCUGUGGGGCACCUCCAUGCUGUGCUGCACACUCUGCUCAUCUUCAUGAGAUCACCGUCCUGCAGGUGCUAACCCUCUGAUUCUUUUGAAAAGGAGAAAUCAGGUCUUGGGAAAGGCGGUGAUUUUCCUGCAAGCAGCUGCAGGUAGUACUCACACUCAGGUCUUUUGGCUUCCAGGCCGAAAGAGGUCUCUCUAGAAUACACCAGUACUCACUGAGCACGUACUAUGUGCAGAGACUGCUCUGGGUACAGGGGACAUAGCCAUGGACAGAACAGACUUCUCCAAAGGCCCUUAAGGCCAGGGCACUGGGGCUGCUUACUCCAUCUGCAGAGUUUGUGGUUAGACUGACCAGGUGCUCAGGUCUGGACGGGAAGCCCCGCACUGCAAUAAGGAACUGUGGCUGUUCUUUCUUCUCACAUCCAGGUCUGGGACUAGCUUCUCAGCCCCAGAGACAAAAGGGUACUUCCCAAACCCACCCCACUCAGUGACACUGGGCCAUCUCAGAAAACACAGCAGGUCCCUGUGGCCCCAGCCCACCGCCAUAGCGCUGUCUGCCAGAAUCCACACCUGUCUCCUCUUCCCCCACCUACUGACUCCUGGGGAGAGAAAGACAAGUCCCUGGCCUUUAUGACACUAACUGCAAUAAGUCAGACACAGCUGCAGCAAACUCAAUGUCAUCAGAGGAGACACAAAAUGUAGGGAGUGUGUCUAUGAGGAAGUUUUCAUAUUUGCUGCUCACACUACAAGCUUCUCACUGCUGUUCACACUACAAGCUUCCUCUUCGUUUUGUUUAAGAAAGGUGGAUCCUAUCCCAGUUACUCCAAAACUCUGCAGUGCCAUACUGUGAAGUCCUAAUCCGACUGUACCAAAGGCCAGAGAGACCUCGGCUUGGCCCCAGCUGCCUUGCUUACGAUCCUCCUCACAGGAUCAUUUUGAGGUUGAAACUGAAGCAUUAAGCUCACAUAGGUACCAUGUGCAUUUUAAAGCUUUUCCACUCUCUGUCCUCUCCACCAGCAUUGUUUGUGCUCCUGUUCACACUUAACACAUCUGGUCCUCGUCAUCUGUGGACCCCUUUGCCUUCACACUGUCCUCAGAGCCUGCUCAGCUGCCCAGCCCCAGUGCCUGGUCCAGAGGUCAGUUCACAGCAAGCACUCAGCAUUCCUUCUGGAUCCGUGUCUCCCAAAAUGCAGUCCCGGAACAGCAAUGCUACCCAGCCAUCUGAGGCCAAUUCAUUUGUCAUGUAAGGCGGGCACCAAAAGAUGGCACAUCCUUACCUAGAAAUCGUGUCAGGGAGGAAGACAAGAGUGUUCACUCUAAUCCCUGACUCCAGUCAGUUACAGCAGGAAAUACUUUUUCAAAACUUGUAACUGUGGCUGAAAAGCCUUGACACGAGUCGGGGAGGACACAAAGCAACUCUUCAAAGUUGGGAGGCUUCACACAGUUCAAAGCCCAGUGUAGAUCUGGAGUGCUUUCACCAAGGACUAUUUGGUCUAUGAGUGGUUCUCUUGUAUUUUUCUCAAACAAGCUCCAAAAAGCUCCCUCAUUCAGGUAGUCACAAGCCACCACUUUUUAGAGAUGAGGAAACUGUUGCUCAGAAGGUUUAAGUGACUCAGAGAUAGUAAGUGGAGAAUUGGACACAUGUUUGCAUGCGUAUACACACACACAUGCACACGCACGCGCAUGCGUGCACACACACACAAACACACACUCCACCCAAUGUGAGGAUGGAUACAAUCAGACCUUCAAUCCCAGUCACUCACAUACCUGAAGACACCUGUCUUUCUGUCUCUGUAUCCAUCUGCCCUGCAAAUCUAUACCCUCCUGUCAGUAUUUGGUGGAUGGAAACCUCAGUUUCUCUCGUCAGCUCUCUUCUUUGACAAGAGAAUCGAGCCAUCCUGGCUCUGUCUUUCUGGUUAAAAAAAUAAAAUAAAUAAAUAAAUAAAAAACCACACACACAGAUAUUGUGCACACACCCCCUAGUGGCCACAUGUGGAGACACAUGCCCCACAAAGUUUGCUUUGGGGUUGAUAACCACUUGAGUUUGAGAAGGAAACCCCAGAUAGGAUUGCAACUCCAUCCUAGGAAGGAGGAUGGUGAAGGAUGAUCUUAUGUGGAAGACAGUGAAAAUGGAAAAAGACAAAGAAAAGGGGAGGAGAAAGAAAAAUGUGAUGGAGAAAAAGAAGACAGGAGAACCAAAGGAAGAUUAAAGAAAGGUAUAUAGAAUAGGAGGAGUGAGAGAAAAAAAUAAGGCAAGCUUAAAGGAGGGACAUUUCUCAAUGUGAAGUCUUUCUCUAUUUCAAAUAUAAGCACAAAAAGUAAUGAUGGAAAAUAACGCGAACUGGUGUGUCCAGGGUCAGCUGGCCAUCCUGUACACAGGCAGGUGGGGACAGACGAGCCAAGGAUGAGAGGGGACAGGGCCAGUAUCUGACCCCGUCACUGCCUGACUUGGUAAUAUUUUCAGAAUCCAAAGCUUUCUCUGUCCCUAUUUCUGAGCUUGUAAAGGGUAGAUAAUAGCAGUUGUUUGUUGACUUCUGAUGAGAAUAAUAAAGAUUUGCAGAGAAAACCCUGAAAAGUGCUCUAAGCUCUUGGACAUAACCAUCACAGAAGUGUGUUUUAUUAUUUUUCUCAAUGCAGCAAAAACCCUCCAUCCUUUGCUUCCUGGUGUAAAAGGUUAUAUGUGAUGCUGGAGUGCCAAAGUACUUGCUGUAUUUCAACAAUACAUCAAGUUAUCACCACCUCUGGUGCUUUGGAAGAUGCUGUGAUUUGGAAAGCACUGUCGAAAUAUAAAACAUUAUUGCCACAGUAGUAAAAAUAUCUGUGUCCA